CGGCGACCGGCACGUUGGUCCGGGCGAGGGCGCCGAUCACGACGGCGGUGGAGUUGGCGUCGCUGGGGCUGCCGGGGUUGUACCCCCAGCCGCCGUCC
This 98-nucleotide transfer RNA is filed under the name Streptomyces cavourensis. RNAcentral describes it as "tRNA-Val". Lineage: Bacteria; Bacillati; Actinomycetota; Actinomycetes; Kitasatosporales; Streptomycetaceae. The record is from RNAcentral.